CGGCGCGCCGGUGACGUCACGGCCCGCGCCCGGCCAUUGAUUCCCGGCUGAAGGUAGCGCGGGCGACGUGGUGGGGGAGGGCGGGGGGAGGGUCCGGCGGCGGCGGCCACCCGGCGCGGGCUGCGUCCCGAGGAAUUCCCGGACGCGGUAAGUGGCUGUCCCCUUCUCCGCCGUCACCUGCCCGGGCCCGGCUUGCAUGGCCUCUGCAGCCUCGGGGGCUGUGGGAAGGGGAAACGCGGGGGAUGUCGUGGGGGGCGCAGAAGGUGGCCGCAGGGGCAGCCAGGGGACGCCGCGGCUGCUGGGGACAGCGGCGGGGCCCCGCAGCCUUCCGGGAGCGGGCGCGGGGCCCGUGCCUCGGGUGCGUGUGUGUGCAGCCCUGUGCACGCGGGUGUGGGCGGCCGAGGCUGCGCACGGAGGCUCUGCCGGCCGCGCCAGCCGGAGCCGAGCAGCUGGGUACCCGGGCCCCGGGUCCUCUGUCGCCGCCCCCGCCUCCGAGAAGGACUGGAGAGCGCGGCGCCUGGGACCGCUCCUGGGACGCGCCUUCCAGCGCCUUCUCCCACAAACGCACUGGACCAGCAGCGCACCCCGGGGAUAAUACCCGCUGCCCGAGCGUGUCUCGCUCAGUGACGGCGUGGGAGGCCACCGCGGAGAGCCCGCUGCGGGGUCACGGCCGCUGCGCACAGCCUCCGUCUGGCUCUGGUGCAGGAGGCCUAGUUGCGUCACCUCCCUUUCCUUCAUCUGUUUGGCUUGAUUCCUGGGCCCCACUGGAGGCAUUGUCCAGAUGUGAACCAAGAUUUGGCCUUUUCACCAAGAGAAAAGGGAAGGCUCAUGGGCAUGGGCACACAGUGCUGAGAUCGUGGGCACACAGUAGGUAUUUGGUAAAUGCUUAUGGAAAGAACAAAUCUUGAGGCAUUGUCAUUCUUGCCAGAAGGAGGCCCUAUGCUUAAUGCCACCAAGUCUCCUUAAGCUAGCUAUUUUUAUACUACAACACAUUGUAACAUAAGCAUCUGAUUCGUGGAUUUAAAGAUCUGAAACUCUUUCAGACCAAGAUUGGUGUUAUUAUCUGUGACUAACUGAUUAGAGUUUUUAAGUAUGCGAACAAUGGAAUCUGAGCUUUUGGGCUUUUGUAGUGAUCUCUUGAGAUAUACCAAUUUGUUUUGCUCUAACAUCUGUUCAACUUGGACUUUAAUGGGUA
RNAcentral lists this long non-coding RNA (1195 nucleotides) under Urocitellus parryii (Arctic ground squirrel). RNAcentral describes it as "lncRNA (ENSUPAG00010001485.1)". Lineage: Eukaryota; Metazoa; Chordata; Mammalia; Rodentia; Sciuridae. The record is from RNAcentral.